RNAcentral lists this small nuclear RNA (140 nucleotides) under Moschus moschiferus (Siberian musk deer). RNAcentral describes it as "U1 spliceosomal RNA (ENSMMSG00000010956.1)". It matches the Rfam family "U1 spliceosomal RNA". From Rfam's summary of the family: U1 is a small nuclear RNA (snRNA) component of the spliceosome (involved in pre-mRNA splicing). Lineage: Eukaryota; Metazoa; Chordata; Mammalia; Artiodactyla; Moschidae. The record is from RNAcentral.
GGAUUCUCCAGGCAAGAACACUGGAGUGGGUUGCCAUUUCCUUCUCCAUCAGAUGUGCUAACUACUGUGAUUUCCCAAAAUGUGGGAAACUCAACUGCAUAAUUUGUGGUAGUGGGGAACUGUGUUCAUACUUUCCCCUG